GACGAACGCUGGCGGCGUGCUUAACACAUGCAAGUCGAACGGAAAGGCUCCAGCUUGCUUGAGUACUCGAGUGGCGAACGGGUGAGUAACACGUGGGUAAUCUGCCCUGCACUCUGGGAUAAGCCUGGGAAACUGGGUCUAAUACUGGAUAUGACCUUUCUCCUUAUGGGGUUUGGUGGAAAGUUUUUCGGUGUAGGAUGAGCCCGCGGCCUCUCAGCUUGUUGGUGGGGUGAUGGCCUACCAAGGUGACGACGGGUAGCCGGCCUGAGAGGGUGAUCGGCAAAAUUGGGACGGGGAUACGGCCAGGACUCCUACGGGAGGCAGCAGGGGGGAAUAUUGCACAAUGGGCGGAAGCCGAAUGCAGCAACGCCGCGUGAGGGAGGACGGCCUUCGGGUUUAAAACCUCUUUCAGCAGGAACGAAGCGUAAGUGACGGUACCUGCAGAAGAAGCACCGGCUAACUAUGUG
This 467-nucleotide ribosomal RNA is filed under the name uncultured bacterium. Its description in RNAcentral is "partial 16S ribosomal RNA". It matches the Rfam family "Bacterial small subunit ribosomal RNA", at positions 28 to 507 of the family's 1533-position model. The record is from RNAcentral.